GUCUUACCGCGCUAUCAGAAUUCAAAAACUUUAACAGACAAACAACUUAACGGUCAAGUGGCUGUUUGCUUUCUUCGUUUAUAUAAAUAUGUUUAUGGCCUAGAUGUUUCAUGAAAUAGGACACAUUAAUCUUGUGAAAGUAAGUACGUGAAACGGAGAUGUUUUGGAUGAGAACUUGCCUCUGCGAAACUGAAGGUUUGAGCAGCUUCCUGUAGGUGGCGAUCUCGAUGUCCAGCGCCAACUUGACGUUCAUAAGCUCCUGGUACUCACGGAGUUGCCGAGCCAUGUCCUGCUUGGCUCUCUGAAGUGCCUCCUCCAAGUCCUUAAUACGACAUUUGGCCUCCUUCACAGUCAUCUCGCCACGAUCCUCAGCCUCCGCCAUCUGGUUCUCCAGGUUGGCCAUGUAAGCAUCAAACAUGGGCUCGACGUUGGAGCGGCCUGGGGUCUGGCUCUCCAGAAGCUCCCAC
This is a long non-coding RNA of Carassius auratus (goldfish), 467 nucleotides long. RefSeq lists it as uncharacterized. The transcript is spliced from 3 exons. The record is from RefSeq and is a predicted model, not a curated record. Lineage: Eukaryota; Metazoa; Chordata; Actinopteri; Cypriniformes; Cyprinidae.